UAGUGGCGCACGGGAUGCGUAACGCGUGGGAAUCUGCCCCUUGGUUCGGAAUAACAGUUGGAAACGACUGCUAAUACCGGAUGAUGACGUAAGUCCAAAGAUUUAUCGCCGAGGGAUGAGCCCGCGUAGGAUUAGGUAGUUGGUGUGGUAAAGGCGCACCAAGCCGACGAUCCUUAGCUGGUCUGAGAGGAUGAUCAGCCACACUGGGACUGAGACACGGCCCAGACUCCUACGGGAGGCAGCAGUGGGGAAUAUUGGACAAUGGGCGAAAGCCUGAUCCAGCAAUGCCGCGUGAGUGAUGAAGGCCUUAGGGUUGUAAAGCUCUUUUACCCGGGAUGAUAAUGACAGUACCGGGAGAAUAAGCUCCGGCUAACUCCGUGCCAGCAGCCGCGGUAAUACGGAGGGAGCUAGCGUUAUUCGGAAUUACUGGGCGUAAAGCGCACGUAGGCGGCUUUGUAAGUAAGAGGUGAAAGCCCAGAGCUCAACUCUGGAAUUGCCUUUUAGACUGCAUCGCUUGAAUCAUGGAGAGGUCAGUGGAAUUCCGAGUGUAGAGGUGAAAUUCGUAGAUAUUCGG
Molecule: ribosomal RNA, 574 nt
Filed under: Sphingomonas sp. Air130
Lineage: Bacteria; Pseudomonadati; Pseudomonadota; Alphaproteobacteria; Sphingomonadales; Sphingomonadaceae
Description: bacterial SSU rRNA
Rfam family: Bacterial small subunit ribosomal RNA
Source: RNAcentral